AUUGAACGCUGGCGGCGUGCCUAACACAUGCAAGUCGAGCGAUUCUCUUCGGAGAAGAGCGGCGGACGGGUGAGUAACGCGUGGGUAACCUGCCCUGUACACACGGAUAACAUACCGAAAGGUAUGCUAAUACGGGAUAACAUAAGAAAUUCGCAUGUUUUUCUUAUCAAAGCCCCGGCGGUACAGGAUGGACCCGCGUCUGAUUAGCUAGUUGGUGAGGUAACGGCUCACCAAGGCGACGAUCAGUAGCCGACCUGAGAGGGUGAUCGGCCACAUUGGAACUGAGACACGGUCCAAACUCCUACGGGAGGCAGCAGUGGGGAAUAUUGCACAAUGGGCGAAAGCCUGAUGCAGCAACGCCGCGUGAGCGAUGAAGGCCUUCGGGUCGUAAAGCUCUGUCCUCAAGGAAGAUAAUGACGGUACUUGAGGAGGAAGCCCCGGCUAACUACGUGCCAGCCGCCGCGGUAA
RNAcentral lists this ribosomal RNA (468 nucleotides) under uncultured bacterium. RNAcentral describes it as "partial 16S ribosomal RNA". It matches the Rfam family "Bacterial small subunit ribosomal RNA", at positions 30 to 523 of the family's 1533-position model. The record is from RNAcentral.